UCGGUUCCCGUACGAUCACCGAAGUUAAGCAACGUCGAGCCUAGCUAGUACCUAAAUGGGUGACCAAUUAGAAAUACUAGCUGCU
Molecule: non-coding RNA, 85 nt
Organism: Acanthosepion pharaonis
Lineage: Eukaryota; Metazoa; Mollusca; Cephalopoda; Sepiida; Sepiidae
Source: the annotation of a GenBank genome assembly